GGGUUUCGGACAAUCUGGGACCGACUUUCCUGUACUCUACAACCAGUGGCAGGGGAAGUUGGGGAACAGGUUUUAUUUUGGAGAGGCUAAUCAGUUCCAGCUAAAUUGGGAACCAUAGUUAAGAUUUUCUGCCAAGUGCAAACACGGCACACAAAACAUGAUUUAACUGUAACAGAUUUCUUAGCAGAUCGAAUAGGAGCGGUGAAAACUGGGGGUCUUGGACCAUGCUCCCUUGGGGAAAAUUUGCAAAAUUGAGGCUCAGAAAUGCCAUUUCCUGCACUGAGGUUAAGAAUUUGGAAGCAAAUAUGCGCCUGUCUGCACCAGACAUUUAUGAAUUGUGGAUUAAACAUGCAACUCUCAUAGCAGAAAUUCAGGACCGACUUUUGAUACAGUUUCAAUAAAAACUGGGAACAACUUUGUGUGCACCUGAGUGAAUAUGGUGGUAAACAAUGAAUGAGAUUGGUUGUCUUCAAGUUAAACUCCUUUAUAGUUCAGCUUUGACUUGUCAAGAACAAGAAUAAAACACUUUGGAACAUUCCAAGUUCAGCAUAUUUAGUAGCAGUGUUCAAAACAGCUAGGCCACAAUUUUUUUAAAAAAAUACAAAUGCUUCGACCCAAUUAGAAAUUAGACAUAUAUGAAGCACCAUCAAAUGAACAUCAUAUGUUUUAUGAAACAAACUGCUAUAUGUAAAUGUAGUUGUUUUAAAGACUGAACUUCUGAAAACUAUUUCCAACUAAGAUUAUUUCCACAAAGAAUCUAACAGAACCAGGAUAAGACAGGGCCACUCAAAUAUGUGUGCCUAAUGUGUCAGUCCUACUAAAGAAUGCCCGGGAAAGCCCAUACACUACAUACACUGGAAAAAAUCCAUAGAAUGGAAAUUGUAUGGACCUUUAUUGGAAAUAAAAUGGAAUUUGAAUGGAUAUAGUAUCGAAAUAGUAUGGAUAUACUAUGAAUUUAGUGGUGCAAUCGCAAAUCUCAUAGUAUGGAUUUCACAAUUUUUUUUCCUAGUGAUAGUUACGUCAAAUUUUGGGCCUGGCCUUAAUAAUCAAAUUGCUUGACUGAUUUCAAGAGGAAAGAGCCUGGGAACGAGGUUGAUUUCAAGUUAAUUCCCUGUUUUCCACUCAGGUCUUAACUCAAACAUAUUUUUUUUCUCGAGUCAAGCUCUUGACAAAAAUGGGUGUUUGCAGGAGUAUAUGUUGUAAUGAAAAAAGUUCUAGCUAAGUAUUGUAUUCUUUGACGGGUUUACAUCUAUGCAAGCUCAGGUUGCAUGCAAUUAGAAAGUAGAAAGAAUCUGAUAUCACUCCUGGCAGUGGUAUUCUUCUGAGGACUAUACUAUCAGCCAACAAGAACACGUCAUUAAGCAUGACUCACGAAUCUUAUUAAAUGCCAUGAGCUCGUGCGAGUGCUAGUGAAUUAAGUUGACGUCGUAACCUGAGGAUGAAGUAACGCGAUGUGCCCCUGCAAACAAGUUUCCGCUGAGGAAGAAAUAGUCUUGUAAUGGCCAGGUGCCAACACCAUGCACAUACUGAAAUAGUCCAAUAGGAACCUCAGACACUAUCUGACUAUUUGGUUAUUUAAUUCAUUCAUAGACAUGUCCUUUUGUGAAUUGCACCUGGUCCUAUAUGUGAUGAAGUUUCGUUUGAUUCCCACAAUCGGUUCGAAGAAGUAAAGACUUUAUAAUAUCACGUUUUGUUUAAGUUAUAAUUCCCGUUCUAAAGUCAACGCUCGCUCACAUGUUAUGUACUAUAUCCGAAGUGUCAAUCAAAUUGUACAUUUCCUUAAUAAUAUUAACACUACUGAUCUAUAAAUGUAACUGUAUAAACGUUCACGAGACACUCCCCCUAUUUUAAAUAAUCCUUAUUUGAAAUAUAAACUGACUAAGUUUGACUAACUGUUGGUCGCUUUAUCAAGUCACUUACAGUUUUACUUAUACCCAUGCAAAGUUAUUAGUCACCGUCCUCUUCAGUCUCCUGCAUCUGAUGAAUAUUCCUUAAUGCUUCAACCGCUGCUCUUCGUUUUGGUCUAAACUCUCUGGCUUCGGGAUUCAGUUCUCCUUGAUUUUGUUUCUUCGCUUCACAGUAUAACUCCAUUGGAUAUAGAAACUGAAUAGGUCUUUCGAGGUAACUCUUUCCUGCACGCAGUCUCACCGCUCUCACGAUUUCAUCUCUUCCAGGUAUUAGUUUGUCCACGAUUCCAAUCUUCCACUUGCCUCGGUUCUUUUCAUCGCCCUUGAUAAGAACUACAUCGCCUUCUUGCAAUCGUGCGCUUUUCCCGUGGUGUCGUAAAUCGUGUCUCUCUCGAAGUGCUCUCAUGUAUUCAUUUUGCCAACGACGCCAUAACGCAUCUUUACACUUCUUUAAAUGUUUUGCUCUCCUUCGUAGAUCGUCUUCUUCAAUUUCUUCAGUAGGCAACUCUAAUAGAUAAUUUGCUUUUCCCAAUAUCAGGAGGUUUGGUGUGAGAACCGGAAGUUGCACGUCAUCUUCACAAUACGUUAAAGGGCGGUUAUUCAGUACUAUUUGUAUGUCCAGUAAUACAUCUUGCAACUCUUUGUAAGUGAGUUUAGCUGAACCAACAACUUUGUAAAGCGAAUUCUUCACCAAUCCAACCAUUCUUUCAAACAUGCCGCCCCACCAGCUUGCCUUGCUUAAGUUAAACUGCCACUGGAUUUUAU
Paramuricea clavata is the source of this 2672-nucleotide non-coding RNA. NCBI's taxonomy places the organism in Eukaryota, Metazoa, Cnidaria, Anthozoa, Malacalcyonacea, Plexauridae. The record is from the annotation of a GenBank genome assembly.